GACGAACGCUGGCGGCGUGCCUAAUACAUGCAAGUCGAGCGAGCGGAACUAACAGAUUUACUUCGGUAAUGACGUUAGGAAAGCGAGCGGCGGAUGGGUGAGUAACACGUGGGGAACCUGCCCCAUAGUCUGGGAUACCACUUGGAAACAGGUGCUAAUACCGGAUAAGAAAGCAGAUCGCAUGAUCAGCUUUUAAAAGGCGGCGUAAGCUGUCGCUAUGGGAUGGCCCCGCGGUGCAUUAGUUAGUUGGUAAGGUAAAGGCUUACCAAGGCGAUGAUGCAUAGCCGAGUUGAGAGACUGAUCGGCCACAUUGGGACUGAGACACGGCCCAAACUCCUACGGGAGGCAGCAGUAGGGAAUCUUCCACAAUGGACGCAAGUCUGAUGGAGCAACGCCGCGUGAGUGAAGAAGGUUUUCGGAUCGUAAAGCUCUGUUGUUGGUGAAGAAGGAUAGAGGUAGUAACUGGCCUUUAUUUGACGGUAAUCAACCAGAAAGUCACGGCUAACUACGUG
This 512-nucleotide ribosomal RNA is filed under the name uncultured bacterium. RNAcentral describes it as "partial 16S ribosomal RNA". It matches the Rfam family "Bacterial small subunit ribosomal RNA", at positions 28 to 507 of the family's 1533-position model. The record is from RNAcentral.